Molecule: RNA transcript, 1879 nt
Organism: Panicum virgatum (switchgrass)
Lineage: Eukaryota; Viridiplantae; Streptophyta; Magnoliopsida; Poales; Poaceae
Exons: 3
Source: RefSeq, a predicted model, not a curated record
AUAGAAGGCCCGGCCCAAUUGUAGAAGCUUCUUCUUCACCCGCCACGCCACCCUAUCGAGCAAUGUCGCUUGCGCCGCCUCCGCCUUCUUCCCCUCGCCUCCGCGCCUUCCGCCGCGACGGAACCCUCUCCUCGGCCGGCCGAUUCCCCAGCAUCACCGGAUGCCUUUCUCCCCGCAGCACUCCCCGCUCCUGUGGCCGCGCCGGACGCGCCUACUGCCUCUUCUCCGGCGGGGACAACCGCAAGAAACAGCGUUGCAGGGUUGAGUUGUCUGUCCAUGGGACUGGACACAUUGCGCGGCCAGUAGAUGAUGGGAUCGGCAAAAUGUGUUUACAGAAUUCGAUGGUUAAAUGAAGACCUGUAUGGGGGAUCUGUUGGGACUGAGUUUCUAUCCAAACCCCCUUAUUUAGUACCAGUUCAUGCGUUUCUGUGUACAUUUUUAUGCGGAUGUUUAUAAUGCUGAAUGCUGUAAUGUAGGCAGAUAGGAAUCGAACCAAGUCAGAUAGAUUGCAAUCGCAAUGCUUAUUCUGCUUGUGUCGUUUCCCUCCUGUUUGUUCGUUGUCGCUAAUGUUUAGUCAUUUAGACAGCCCAGUUGUUGCAAAAUCAUAUGUUACCUCGGAUUCAAAGGUUGUAUUUGGCAUACGAUGCUGAUAUUCUUUAUACCGAAAUCUGGUACUUUUGUGUACAAGACUAGUGAGCUAAGUAGCACUGCUGAUUUCUGCGAGAAUCCAAAAUUACUUACACAAUAUUAGCUAAAAUUGUGCACAAAUUUCCUCACAGGACGAAGCUAGGGGAGUGCUGGAAAAUCCUAUUUCUUUGAUUCUUAUGGGGAUGUAUAUAAUGCUGAAUGUUGUAAUCCUGCCACAUAAUAAUAGAAUAAAUUUGAUGACAACUUAUUCUACUAGUUCAUUUCCCCUUUUUUGACUUCAGUUUGAGCAACCUUGCACUUGUUGUCACAAAACUGUACAUUUCCUAGGUAAAUGUCCCUUUUCUGCAUGCACCAGUUUUCUGUUUUAAAAAGAAGUGUUAAGUACUGUUAGCUAUCAGACUAAGUAGUACUACAGUUUUCUGUGUGAAUCAAAACUACACAUAAAUAUUAUCGCAAAAUUGAACAGUAUUUUCCUGAUAGGAUGAAGCAAGGAAAGCGCUGGAAAAUGCCCUGGGGCAGAAGAAGGCAGAGUUUGACAAGUGGGAUGUGGAGAUUAAAAGGAGGCGGCAAAGGGGGCAGCCUGGAGGUCCUGCUGCUGGUGGUGGAGGAUGGUCAGGAGGAGGCCGGUGGUUCAGGUGGCUUACCAGUGGAGGUUUCUGGGAUGCAGCAAAACAAAUUGUUCUUACAAUCCUGGGCAUUAUCGCAGCGUUUUUCCUGAUUGCAAACUUCAAUGUUCUGGUUGCUGCUGUUAUCAAUUCAUUGCUGCUUGUUCUGCGGACAAUAAGGCGCACACUCUCCUUCAUAGCUCGCUGUGUUUUCCAGGACGCAUUGGUUGAAAGGCCUGGACCAAAAUCAAGUACCCUGGACAACAGCAAUGUGGGUGCAGUGCCUGUGAAAGGAAGAGCUGGAAUGUCUGCGACAGAAAGAGUUGUAAAGAAAUGGAGAACGGACUGAAGUAGAGCACAGUUAUUCUUGUUAGCUUUCGUAUUGUUCAGAGUUUUGCUGUCAUUUUCCCGAUGCUUGUCAUGUUCAUGUAGAAGAUGAAAAUGGUAGAAGUUCUAAUUGGUCUCUGUGAAUGAUAUCUUGGACAUUUCGCAAUUUUCUUGUAGCAUAUGAUUCAUCUGAUCCCUGAACUUUUAUCCACAAUACUGAACUAAAGCAAUUUUUAUGUCAGCUUCGCACACUCAUUGUGAAGUAUGAAGUGUGCAGAAACGUGUUUGGAAUUGUUUUA